This 220-nucleotide ribosomal RNA is filed under the name uncultured bacterium. Its description in RNAcentral is "partial 16S ribosomal RNA". It matches the Rfam family "Bacterial small subunit ribosomal RNA", at positions 1280 to 1500 of the family's 1533-position model. The record is from RNAcentral.
AAUAGGUCUCAGUUCAGAUUGCAGGCUGCAACCCGCCUGCAUGAAGUCGGAAUUGCUAGUAAUCGCAGAUCAGCAUGCCGCGGUGAAUACGUUCCCGGGCCUUGUACACACCGCCCGUCACACCAUGGGAGCCGGUAAUACCCGAAGUCAGUAGUCCAACCUCGUGAGGACGCUGCCGAAGGUAGGAUUGGCGACUGGGGUGAAGUCGUAACAAGGUACC